GGGCUCUGCUCCAGGAGUGCUGCUGGUGCUCACGUGGCACAGAGACCACUCAGCCACGGCAAAGCAGAGGGCUGCAGCAGUGAUGUGCUCCGCAACGUCACGUAUAGCACUUACUGGAAGGUUUUACUUGUUUGGAGGCUCCCAACUGUCUUUGGAAUUAUGUGAUGUUCUUAAGUGUGACGAAACAGCCUUGACUUUUGGCCAAAUCGCUGUCAUAGCCUUUCUUGCAGCAAAGAAGCACAGAGCUGCGGCAGAAAAAAUGGCACCCACUGACAUUCAUCGACAGUUGCUGAACAGUUAUGGAGGCCCAACAGUGGAUGUGAGCACAGUGCUGCUGUGGGUGGUGCAUUUCAGCAGUGACAGUGGAUCACCUCGACUGGUGCAGAUUUAUCCAACGUGGCAUGCAGGCUCUAGUUCACUGCUGGCCAAAAAGCACAGCCAGUGGUGGUGUCUAUGUUGAAAAACAGUGCUUUGUGGCUGAGAAUUUGCUCUGUCUGUUAGUAUUAUUGUGCUCUUUGUAUCUGUUGUAUUUUCUGCGGAAAUAAAUAGGAG
This 552-nucleotide long non-coding RNA is filed under the name Gallus gallus (chicken). RNAcentral describes it as "lncRNA (ENSGALG00010025171.1)". Lineage: Eukaryota; Metazoa; Chordata; Aves; Galliformes; Phasianidae. The record is from RNAcentral.